GAUGAACGCUAGCUACAGGCUUAACACAUGCAAGUCGAACGAUGAAGCCGGAGCUUGCUCCGGUGGAUUAGUGGCGAACGGGUGAGUAACACGUGAGCAAUCUGCCCUUGACUCUGGGAUAACUGCGGGAAACUGUAGCUAAUACCGGAUACGACACCUUGGGGCAUCCCAGGGUGUGGAAAGAAUUUCGGUCAAGGAUGAGCUCGCGGCCUAUCAACUAGUUGGUGAGGUAAUGGCUCACCAAGGCGACGACGGGUAGCCGGCCUGAGAGGGUGACCGGCCACACUGGAACUGAGACACGGUCCAGACUCCUACGGGAGGCAGCAGUGGGGAAUAUUGCACAAUGGGCGAAAGCCUGAUGCAGCAACGCCGCGUGAGGGAUGAAGGCCUUCGGGUUGUAAACCUCUUUUAGCAGGGAAGAAGCGAAAGUGACGGUACCUGCAGAAAAAGCACCGGCUAACUACGUGCCAGCAGCCGCAGUAA
Molecule: ribosomal RNA, 483 nt
Filed under: uncultured bacterium
Lineage: Bacteria
Description: partial 16S ribosomal RNA
Rfam family: Bacterial small subunit ribosomal RNA
Source: RNAcentral